AACCCCUGCAUUCAGCUGCCAUCGGUAAGGCCGGGCACUCUGAUGGACUGCCGGCGACAAGCCGGAGGAAGUGGGGACGACGUCAAGUCAUCAUGGCCCUUAUGUCCAGGGCGACACACGUGCUACAAUGGCCGGCACAACGGGAAGCGAAGGGGCGACCCUGAGCGGAUCCCACAAAAGCCGGUCUCAGUUCGGAUUGCAGUCUGCAACUCGACUGCAUGAAGUUGGAAUCGCUAGUAAUCGUGGAUCAGCCAAGCCGCGGUGAAUACGUUCCCGGGCCUU
RNAcentral lists this ribosomal RNA (282 nucleotides) under uncultured Thermovirga sp. RNAcentral describes it as "partial 16S ribosomal RNA". It matches the Rfam family "Bacterial small subunit ribosomal RNA", at positions 1100 to 1382 of the family's 1533-position model. Lineage: Bacteria; Thermotogati; Synergistota; Synergistia; Synergistales; Thermovirgaceae. The record is from RNAcentral.